Molecule: long non-coding RNA, 2743 nt
Organism: Mytilus californianus (California mussel)
Lineage: Eukaryota; Metazoa; Mollusca; Bivalvia; Mytilida; Mytilidae
Exons: 4
Source: RefSeq, a predicted model, not a curated record
UCUCCCUUAUAAAUGUUAAUUAUAUGGUAAAGUAUCACUAUGUCAAAGAACAUGUCUUUUAAAAGUCAUGUCUAUUUAAAAUAAAUAGUGAGUUAUCUCCCUUAUAAAUGUUAAUUAUAUGGUAAAGUAUCACUAUGUCAAAGAACAUGUCUUUUAAAAGCCAUGUCUAUUUAACAUAAAUAGUGAGUUAUCUCCCUUAUAAAUGUUAAUUAUAUGGUAAAGUAUCACUAUGUCAAAGAACACGUCUUUUAAAAGUCAUGUCUAUUCAACAUAAAUAGUGAGUUAUCUCCCUUAUAAAUGUUAAUUAUAUGGUAAAGUAUCACUAUGUCAAAGAACAUGUCUUUUAAAAGUCAUGUCUAUUCAACAUAAAUAGUGAGUUAUCUCCCUUAUAAAUGUUAAUUAUAUGGUAAAGUAUCACUAAGUCAAAGAACAAUGAGUUAUCUCCUUUAAAAUGAUAAAUACUGCAUCAAGUUUGAUACAAUAUUUCUCCAUUUGAGACAGAUAAAUUUUCAAAUUUAAAACCCAAAGGCUUGCCUAGCAGUUUAAAAAUUUAAAAUUGAACUGUCAAGAGUGGAGAAAUAUUAAAUUGCACUAGAUGGUGGUAGAAUCUGUUUCUUUAUUGAUUGAUGAUAUGCAGACAAACUUAAUCCUUCUUUUGCAUCUGUAAAAGAUGUGUUCUUUCUAUGUAACGUCAUCAGCCACAGUUGCCUUUUUUCAUGACGUCACAAUAGAAAAUUAAGAGGAAAGCACGAAAAUUUGACGUCAUAAUUGAAUUUUGACCAAUAGAGAACUGAUAUCAACCGAAUCGCACCUUGAUUAUAAUAAAAAUAAUCAAUAGGUCAGGAAAAUGAUAAAUAUGGCAAGAAUUAGAGAAAUAUGGUUAAAGCAUGACUAAGUCAAAGAACGUUGAGUUAUCUCCCUUGUAAAUUACAGUGAAGAACAAUGAGUUAUCUUCCGUCUUUGACAAAUGAUUUAAAAAGCAUGAAUUAUGAGAGCAAAAAUAUUGAGUUAUCUUUCUUCCUUGAUAAUAAUUGAGCAAGUCACAAACACGCAAAAGAUGAGUAAGCUCUUUUUUUUACAAAGCAGUAAUUUGUUUCAAACUCAGAUUGUUUCAAUUUAUAUUAUAAUCCUGUGUAUCAUUUAUACUAUAUUAUUUUGUAUCAUUUGUACUAUAUCAUUUUGAAUCAUUUAUAUUUAUCAUUUUGUAUCAUUUUGUAUCAUUUGUAUCAUUUUGUAUCAUUUGUACUAUAUUAUUUUGUAUUAUUUGGUAUCAUUUGUACUAUAUCAUUUUGUAUCAUUUGGUAUUAAAUUAGAUUGAACAUUUCUUUCAAAAUUAACAUUGAUGAGAAAGUAGGCAAAAUAUUUGCCUGUUAAAAGGAGAACUUCUCAUAAAAAGGUCCUAUUGUUUAAAGACAUGACAAGAAGGUAAAGCAAUGCUUAAGAUUUUGGGGUUUAUUUAUCAAAAAUAUAAGGAGAAAAAAUACUUGAGGUGUGAAGAAACUGCAGUUUAAUUAACACCAAUUUUACUUGUAAGAAUUUUUGUGAAAAGAGCUUCUGUUUUUUAUAGCCCUAUUAGGUUCCAAAUGUAUAGAAAUUAGAUCCCUAGGGUACAGCUAGUGUAUAGAAAUUAGAUCCCUAGGGUACAGUCAGUGUAUAGACAUUAGAUCCCUAGGGUACAGUCAGUGCAUAGAAAUUAGAUCCCUAGGGUACAGUCAGUGUAUAGAAAUAAGAUCCCUAAGGUACAGUCAGUGUAUAGAAAUUAGAUCCCUAAGGUACAGUCAGUGUAUAGAAAUUAGAUCCCAAGGGUACAGUCAGUGUAUAGCAAUGAGAUCCCAAGGGUACAGUCAGUGUAUAGAAAUUAGAUCCCAAGGGUACAGUCAGUGUAUAGCAAUUAGAUCCCUAAGGUACAGUCAGUGUAUAGAAAUUAGAUCCCUAAGGUACAGUCAGUGUAUAGAAAUUAGAUCCCAAGGGUACAGUCAGUGUAUAGCAAUUAGAUCCCAAGGGUACAGUCAGUGUAUAGCAAUUAGAUCCCAAGGGUACAGUCAGUGUAUAGAAAUUAGAUCCCAAGGGUACAGUCAGUGUAUAGAAAUUAGAUCCCUAAGGUACAGUCAGUAUAUAGCAAUUUGGAUCUCUAAGGUACAGUCAGUGUAUAGCAAUUAGAUCCCAAGGGUACAGUCAGUGUAUAGAAAUUAGAUCCCUAAGGUACAGUCAGUAUAUAGCAAUUUGGAUCUCUAAGGUACAGUCAGUGUAUAGCCAUUUGGAUCUCUAAGGUACAGUCAGUGUAUAGCCAUUUGGAUCUCUAAGGUACAGUCAGUGUAUAGCCAUUUGGAUCCCUAGGGUACAGUCAGUGUAUAGCCAUUUGGAUCUCUAAGGUACCAAAGUGCAUAGAAAACGGAUCCUUUGGGUAUCAGAGUGUAUAGUAUGAUUUUUAUUCAAUAACUUGAUAAUCUGUGUAAAGGACAUUCUCAAUGAAAUGAUUUUUACAUUCAUGUGUAAUGAAGACACAAUUCACAGACAAUAUCUUUGGUACAGUAGUGAAAAAUGUCAAUCAUUGAUGGUUUAUUUUAUGUGAAACCUAUUGGAGUAAUCAUGAUCAAUUGUUAAUCAAAUUUGUAUUUUAAUUGUAUGUAAUAUUAUACAUAUUCUGUGUAAAGAGCACAUUUGUAAUAUCAUUGUAACUAUGUAUGCACAUUAUAUACAAUUAAUCAUGAGUUUCAAUAAAAGUAGUUUAAAAAAAUGAAAA